GAUGAACGCUGGCGGCGUGCCUAAUACAUGCAAGUCGAGCGAACGGACGAGAAGCUUGCUUCUCUGAUGUUAGCGGCGAACGGGUGAGUAACACGUGAAUAACCUACCUAUAAGACUCAAAUAACUUCUGGAAACCGGAGCUAGUACCGGAUAAUAUUUUGAACCGCAUGGUUCAAAAGUGAAAGACGGUCUUUCUUUCACUUAUAGAUGGAUCCGCGCUGCAUUAGCUACUUGGUAAGGUAACGGCAUACCAAGGCAACGGUGCAUAGCCGACCCGAGAGGGGGAUGGGGCACACUGGAACUGAGACACGGUCCCGACCCAUACGGGAAGCAGAAGUAGGGAAUCUUCAGCAAUGGGAGAAAGCCGGACGGAGCAACGCCGAGUGAGUGAUGAAGAUCUUCGGAUCGUGAAACUCUGCUACUAGGGAAGAACAUAUGUGUAAGUAACUGUGCACAUCUUGACGGUACCUAAUCAGAAAGCAACGGCUAACUACGUG
Molecule: ribosomal RNA, 497 nt
Filed under: uncultured bacterium
Lineage: Bacteria
Description: partial 16S ribosomal RNA
Rfam family: Bacterial small subunit ribosomal RNA
Source: RNAcentral